CUGGUCUCCAAACGGGGGCAUGUGCACGCUCUGUUUGUGCAUCCACUCACACCUGUGCACCUUCUGUAGUUCUGUGGCCUGGGGGACUCGUCCUCCUGCUGUGGUUCUGCAUCUUUACACUCACGCUGUGAUAAAGUCUAAUGGAAUGCAUGCCGCGUUUAACGCAAUACAAUACAACUUUCAGCAACGGAUCUCUUGGCUCUCGCAUCGAUGAAGAACGCAGCGAAAUGCGAUAAGUAAUGUGAAUUGCAGAAUUCAGUGAAUCAUCGAAUCUUUGAACGCACCUUGCGCCCUUUGGCUAUUCCGAAGGGCAUGCCUGUUUGAGUAUCAUGAACAUCUCAACUCCUCACGGUUUGCCCGUGAUGAGCUUGGACUUUGGGGGUCUUGCUGGCCUGCAGGUCGGCUCCUCUCAAAUGAAUCAGCUUGCCGGUGUCUGGUGGCGUCACAGGUGUGAUAACUAUCUACGCUUGUGGUU
This 475-nucleotide ribosomal RNA is filed under the name uncultured Tomentella. Its description in RNAcentral is "eukaryotic LSU rRNA". The stretch from base 176 to 330 matches the Rfam family "5.8S ribosomal RNA". Lineage: Eukaryota; Fungi; Basidiomycota; Agaricomycetes; Thelephorales; Thelephoraceae. The record is from RNAcentral.